Molecule: ribosomal RNA, 301 nt
Filed under: uncultured bacterium
Lineage: Bacteria
Description: partial 16S ribosomal RNA
Rfam family: Bacterial small subunit ribosomal RNA
Source: RNAcentral
CAGUCGCCACGGUAAUACGGAGGGGGCUAGCGUUGUUCGGAAUUACUGGGCGUAAAGCGCACGUAGGCGGCUUUGUGAGUUAGAGGUGAAAGCCCGGAGCUCAACUCCGGAAUUGCCUUUAAGACUGCAGAGCUAGCAGGUGAGAGAGGUGAGUGGAAUUCCGAGUGUAGAGGUGAAAUUCGUAGAUAUUCGGAAGAACACCAGUGGCGAAGGCGGCUUACUGGCUCAUACUGGACGCUGAGGUGCGAAAGCGUGGGGAGCAAACAGGACUAGAUACCCGUGUAGUCCCUGUCUCUUAUAC